GUUCUUGCUUCGGCAGCACAUCUAGUAAAACUGGAACAAUACAGAGAAGAUUAGUAUGGCCCCUGCAUAAGGAUAACAUGCAAAUUCUCUUUCCAGAUGGUG
Small nuclear RNA from Jaculus jaculus (lesser Egyptian jerboa), 102 nucleotides. Lineage: Eukaryota; Metazoa; Chordata; Mammalia; Rodentia; Dipodidae. The record is from Ensembl.